AGUCGAGUGCGCGUGCCGUAGCAAUACGGUAUGGCGCACGGCGCACGGGUGCGUAACACGUGGGCAAUCUGCCCUCCGAUGGGGAAUAACCCCGCGAAAGCGGGGCUAAUUCCGCAUAACAUUCCCUGGACUCCGGUUCGGGGAUUCAAAGCAGCAAUGCGUCGGAGGAGGAGCCCGCGCCCGAUUAGCUAGUUGGUGAGGUAACGGCUCACCAAGGCUAUGAUCGGUAGCUGGUCUGAGAGGAUGGCCAGCCACACUGGAACUGAGACACGGUCCAGACUCCUACGGGAGGCAGCAGUGGGGAAUCUUGCGCAAUGGGCGAAAGCCUGACGCAGCGACGCCGCGUGGGGGAUGAAGCUUCUCGGAGUGUAAACCCCUUUCGACCGGGACGAAUGCCCGCAAGGGAGUGACGGUACCGGUAGAAGAAGCCCCGGCUAACUACGUGCCAGCAGCCGCGGUAAGACGUAGGGGGCCAGCGUUGUUCGGAAUUACUGGGUGUAAAGGGUUCGUAGGCGGUGUGGCAAGUCGGGAGUGAAAUUUCUGGGCUUAACUCAGAACCUGCUUCCGAAACUGCUGUGCUCGAGUGUGGGAGAGGCGCGUGGAAUUGCAGGUGUAGCGGUGAAAUGCGUAGAUAUCUGCAGGAACACCCGUGGCGAAAGCGGCGCGCUGGACCAUUACUGACGCUGAGGAACGA
This 694-nucleotide ribosomal RNA is filed under the name uncultured bacterium. RNAcentral describes it as "bacterial SSU rRNA". It matches the Rfam family "Bacterial small subunit ribosomal RNA", at positions 60 to 756 of the family's 1533-position model. The record is from RNAcentral.